GGGGGAGGAAAAGAAACCAACAGGGAUUGCCUCAGUAACGGCGAGUGAAGCGGCAAGAGCCCAAAUUUGAAAUCUGGCACCCGCCCGAGUUGUAAUUUGGAGAGGAUGCUUCGGGGGCUGUCCCCGGCCCAAGUCCCUUGGAACAGGACGUCGUAGAGGGUGAGAUCCCCGUACGCGGCCGGGAGGCUCCCCCGUGCGAAGCUCCUUCGACGACUCGAGUUGUUUGGGAAUGCAGCUCAAAUCGGGAGGUAUAUUCCUUCUAAGGCUGAAUACCGGCCGGAGACCGAUAGCGCACAAGUAGAGUGAUCGAAAGAUGAAAAGCACUUUGGAAAGAGAGUCAAACAGUAUGUGAAAUUGUUGAAAGGGAAGCGUUUGCAGCCAGACCCGGCGGCGGUCGCUCACCCGGUCUCUGCCCGGUGCACUCSACCGCCGCCUGGCCAGCAUCGGUCCGGGCGGCCGGAGAAAGGCUCCGGGAAUGUGGCUCCCCCCGGGGAGUGUUAUAGCCCGCCGCACAACGCGGCCUGCCUGGACCGAGGACGGCCCUCUGCUCGGAUGCUGGCGUAAUGGAAGCCAACGGCC
This 579-nucleotide ribosomal RNA is filed under the name unidentified. RNAcentral's name for it is "Prillieuxina winteriana partial large subunit ribosomal RNA". The record is from RNAcentral.